AGCGAACGCUAGCGGCGGGCUUAACACAUGCAAGUCGAGCGCGUGGCUUCGGCCACGAGCGGCGAACGGGUGAGUAACACGUAGGUCAUCUGCCCUUUGGUGGAGAAUAACCCGAGGAAACUCGGGCUAAUACCGCAUACUGCCUUCGGGUCAAAGGCUUCGGCCGCCAGAGGAUGAGCCGGCCCACCAAGGGGACGAUGCGUAGCUGGUCUGAGAGGAUGAUCAGCCACACUGGGACUGAGACACGGCCCAGACUCCUACGGGAGGCAGCAGUGGGGAAUAUUGCGCAAUGGGGAAACCCUGACGCAGCCACGCCGCGUGGGUGAUGAAGGCC
This 334-nucleotide ribosomal RNA is filed under the name uncultured bacterium. RNAcentral describes it as "bacterial SSU rRNA". It matches the Rfam family "Bacterial small subunit ribosomal RNA", at positions 29 to 416 of the family's 1533-position model. The record is from RNAcentral.